UACGUAGGGUGCGAGCGUUAAUCGGAAUUACUGGGCGUAAAGUGUGCGCAGGCGGCUCCGCAAGUCGAGUGUGAAAGCCCCGGGCUCAACCCGGGAAGUGCACUCGAUACUGCCAAGCUAGAGUAUCGGAGAGGUUGGUGGAAUUCUCGGUGUAGAGGUGAAAUUCGUAGAUAUCGAGAGGAACACCGGUGGCGAAGGCGGCCAACUGGACGAAUACUGACGCUGAGACUCGAAAGCGUGGGGAGCAAACAGG
RNAcentral lists this ribosomal RNA (253 nucleotides) under uncultured bacterium. RNAcentral's name for it is "partial 16S ribosomal RNA". It matches the Rfam family "Bacterial small subunit ribosomal RNA", at positions 524 to 776 of the family's 1533-position model. The record is from RNAcentral.